GACUUAAUACUUUAAAUUAAAAGAUCUGAUUUGCAUUCAGGCAAUAAGUUGUUAAACUUUUAGGUCA
RNAcentral lists this transfer RNA (67 nucleotides) under Californiconus californicus. Its description in RNAcentral is "tRNA-Ala". Lineage: Eukaryota; Metazoa; Mollusca; Gastropoda; Neogastropoda; Conidae. The record is from RNAcentral.